This is a microRNA precursor of Medicago truncatula (barrel medic), 106 nucleotides long. The record is from Rfam. Lineage: Eukaryota; Viridiplantae; Streptophyta; Magnoliopsida; Fabales; Fabaceae.
AGAGAGUAAUGCAGCCAAGGAUGACUUGCCGACAACAUUGGCGAAUGUUCAUGUGAUUUCUGCCUCAUUGUGCCGGCAAGUUGUCCUUGGCUAUGUUAGUCUCUCA